GAUGAACGCUGGCGGCGUGCCUAAUACAUGCAAGUCGAGCGAACGGACGAGAAGCUUGCUUCUCUGAUGUUAGCGGCGGACGGGUGAGUAACACGUGGAUAACCUACCUAUAAGGCUGGGAUAACUUCGGGAAACCGUAGCUAAUACCGGAUAAUAUUUUGAACCGCAUGGUUCAAAAGUGAAAGACGGUCUUGCUGUCACUUAUAGAUGGAUCCGCGCUGCAUUAGCUAGUUGGUAAGGUAACGGCUUACCAAGACAACGAUGCAUAGCCGACCUGAGAGGGUGAUCGGCCACACUGGAACUGAGACACGGUCCAGACUCCUACGGGAGGCAGCAGUAGGGAAUCUUCCGCAAUGGGCGAAAGCCUGACGGAGCAACGCCGCGUGAGUGAUGAAGGUCUUCGGAUCGUAAAACUCUGUUAUUAGGGAAGAACAUAUGUGUAAGUAACUGUGCACAUCUUGACGGUACCUAAUCAGAAAGCCACGGCUAACUACGUG
This 497-nucleotide ribosomal RNA is filed under the name uncultured bacterium. Its description in RNAcentral is "partial 16S ribosomal RNA". It matches the Rfam family "Bacterial small subunit ribosomal RNA", at positions 28 to 507 of the family's 1533-position model. The record is from RNAcentral.